CCGUAGUGUAGUGGUCCAUCACGUCUGCCUGUCACGCAGAAGAUCGCGGGUUCAAAUCCCGUCGGA
Molecule: transfer RNA, 66 nt
Filed under: human gut metagenome
Also listed under: 1 other name
Rfam family: tRNA
About the family: Transfer RNA (tRNA) molecules are approximately 80 nucleotides in length. Their secondary structure includes four short double-helical elements and three loops (D, anti-codon, and T loops).
Source: RNAcentral